GAUUGAAUCAAAAUUAUACUAGUAAUUAGAAUAAAAGAGAAAGGAGAAGUAUCAGUAAAUUUUGUGGAAUGUGCUAUCAAGAAAACAAGGGUUUGGUGAAGGUACAAAGAACUUGCUAGCCGAGGAAAUAAAAAAAGAGGAAGAAAGAAAAGUUGGAAUCGACGGCGAAGCUCAGAUUCGACCGGAAAUUGUAGAGCGGUCUCCAAUCCAAGGUUAAGAAGAUUCGUGCGUCUGCAGGAUAGCUUAGAAGAUGUUAAUCUUCCGUUGCUUCUGUUGAGUCGGGUCUUACUCUGAUACGUAACACUUGGGAAGGGAUGAACGUUUAGUCGUUGUGUAUUAAUGUAAACAUUUUUUUGAUAACAUGUAUAUGAAUUAUUUCCGCUGUGUAUGAAAAUGUGAAGUUUAAUAUUUAUGACAUAUACUUUGGUUCAUCUGAA
Vicia villosa (hairy vetch) is the source of this 437-nucleotide long non-coding RNA. RefSeq lists it as uncharacterized. The transcript has 2 exons. NCBI's taxonomy places the organism in Eukaryota, Viridiplantae, Streptophyta, Magnoliopsida, Fabales, Fabaceae. The record is from RefSeq and is a predicted model, not a curated record.